GAUGAAGAACGUAGCGAAAUGCGAUAGGUAAUGUGAAUUGCAGAAUUCAGUGAAUCAUCGAAUCUUUGAACGCACAUUGCGCCGUUUGGUAGUCCUUAGGGCAUGCCUGUUCGAGCGUCACUACACACCUUAUCACAAUAUUUGUGGUCUUGGCAGGAGUGAAUUGCUGGUCUAUGGAAGUAUUCCAGCAGUACACAAUGCUAAAAAAUAUGGGAAGGUUACCAGAUAUGAACAACAGACUUUGUAAAUGGUUGUAGGACCUAGAUCAGUCACAAGUCGUGUCUGGUCCCUUACCUUAAGGACCCCCAUCCUAGAUGAACUAUGGGUUGACCUCGGAUCAGGUAGGAAUACCCGCUGAACUUAAGCAUAUCAAUAAGCGGAGGA
RNAcentral lists this unclassified non-coding RNA (384 nucleotides) under soil metagenome. RNAcentral's name for it is "partial contains 5.8S ribosomal RNA, internal transcribed spacer 2, and large subunit ribosomal RNA". The stretch from base 1 to 120 matches the Rfam family "5.8S ribosomal RNA", at positions 35 to 154 of the family's 154-position model. The record is from RNAcentral.